Non-coding RNA from Camellia sinensis, 1087 nucleotides. NCBI's taxonomy places the organism in Eukaryota, Viridiplantae, Streptophyta, Magnoliopsida, Ericales, Theaceae. The record is from RefSeq and is a predicted model, not a curated record.
CAGGCACACUCAACCCAUACGUUUGUUCUUCAUUUGCUUGUGUUUUGUGCCCCUUUUUCUCUAUGUUCUGUUGCUAUUUGUAAUUCCAUUCACUUUUGUGUUUUCAUGUUGGUCACUGAUGUGCUGCGAAUCCGGACAAGAAGAGCACUACGCAGGCAAUUCGAUUCCAGCUGCUGCAAGCUCCCCCAUCUAUCAUUAACUUUUCUGAUGACUUGAAAUAUGCAGAAGCAUUUGACUUGUCCAACAAAGACAAGAGAAGCAUUGAAAAUCUGCAGUUACAGCAUGCUCCUAGACGGGUUUGGAUGGCUUCUUCCAUACAUAGGGGUGUAUAACAAGGUACCAUUGAAUAUUGUUAGUCAUUGAUCUAACAUUGAUGUUUGUGUACUUGCUUGAUCCAAUUAAUUCUAAAAUAAACACAACCCUUGAAAUUGCAAUAAACACGUAAGUUUGGCUGGUUCAUACAUUUUUCAGCAAUUUGAGCUACCCUAAAAAUAUUUUGACUUCAGAAAUUUCUCUUGUAAAGUGCUUUGAAAAUUUAUGAAACUACCCAAAAGAGGAGGAGGACCAAUCCAUUUUGGAAAGUAGUUCAGGUAAUUAAUAUCAUUUUCUCUAAUUUUAUCAUACUUAUAUUUAUGCUAAUGCUUGUUUAGCUUGAUCAUAAUACUUUAUAUGUAGUUUCUAAUAAUAAUGAAAAUGCUUUCAUGUGGUCCCCGCAAAAACCCACAAACGUGGAAUGUGAGUUUUAUGUAAUGAGGUAUAUAAAAGACCUCAUUAGAGAUCAAGGCAUCCUAAGAAAACAAAAUUUUAAUGGAAAAAAAGACUUGCACAGAAACCGAACUUGAUGAAGUGAGAGUUGAAUGGAUUAAUUUCGUCCUAAAGAAUAUAAGUUGAAAUCCAACAUGAGAUGAAGAGUCAGUGUGAUGAGAAAAGGUCAGAAAUUUCUGAGAGAGAUGCAAAAUAUGGUCAAAGAAUUCAAGAAUUUAGUUUUUCAAGUUUUCUCAUUUUUUAAUAUAUGUAAGCACAGUUAAAAACUUUUUAUUUAAUUUCUUUGUAUAUAUUUUUUGUCACGCCUCAACAUUUUAAUUAA